This 450-nucleotide ribosomal RNA is filed under the name uncultured Glomus. RNAcentral describes it as "SSU rRNA". It matches the Rfam family "Eukaryotic small subunit ribosomal RNA", at positions 569 to 1024 of the family's 1831-position model. The record is from RNAcentral. Lineage: Eukaryota; Fungi; Glomeromycota; Glomeromycetes; Glomerales; Glomeraceae.
AGCAGCCGCGGUAAUUCCAGCUCCAAUAGCGUAUAUUAAAGUUGUUGCAGUUAAAAAGCUCGUAGUUGAAUUUCGGGAUCAGUUGGUCGGUCGUGCCUCGGUACGUACUGGUCAAAUUGAUUCCUACCUUCUGACGAACCACGAUGUCAUUAAUUUGGUGUCGUGGGAAAUCAGGACUGUUACUUUGAGAAAAUUAGAGUGUUUAAAGCAGGCUCGCGCUUGAAUACAUUAGCAUGGAAUAAUGAAAUAGGACGUUUGAUUCUAUUUUGUUGGUUUCUAGGAUCGACGUAAUGAUUAAUAGGGAUAGUUGGGGGCAUUAGUAUUCAAUUGUCAGAGGUGAAAUUCUUGGAUUUAUUGAAGACUAACUACUGCGAAAGCAUUUGCCAAGGAUGUUUUCAUUAAUCAAGAACGAAAGUUAGGGGAUCGAAGACGAUCAGAUACCGUCGUAGU